AAUUUGGUGUAUGUAUAUGGAACUCGGUUUGUUUUAUUACUGGUUCUUCUAGCAGCUCUGUACUACUGGUUGUAGUAUUGUAUGAUUUACAGGUACAGCUAUCGCUUCAUAUACAGGAGAAAUUUCUUUGUAUACGGCGGAUUUGUCAGCGCGCACGGGGAGCGAGUAAUCCGGGGCGUGACAGAUUAAGUUGGUAUCAGAGC
RNAcentral lists this long non-coding RNA (203 nucleotides) under Ananas comosus (pineapple). RNAcentral describes it as "long non-coding RNA (ACOM_LNC041073)". Lineage: Eukaryota; Viridiplantae; Streptophyta; Magnoliopsida; Poales; Bromeliaceae. The record is from RNAcentral.